AGUGAACGCUGGCGGUAGGCCUAACACAUGCAAGUCGAACGGCAGCACAGUAAGAUCUUGCUCUUACGGGUGGCGAGUGGCGGACGGGUGAGGAAUACAUCGGAAUCUACUUUUUCGUGGGGGAUAACGUAGGGAAACUUACGCUAAUACCGCAUACGACCUACGGGUGAAAGCAGGGGAGCUUCGGACCUUGCGCGAUUGAAUGAGCCGAUGUCGGAUUAGCUAGUUGGCGGGGUAAAGGCCCACCAAGGCGACGAUCCGUAGCUGGUCUGAGAGGAUGAUCAGCCACACUGGAACUGAGACACGGUCCAGACUCCUACGGGAGGCAGCAGUGGGGAAUAUUGGACAAUGGGCGCAAGCCUGAUCCAGCCAUACCGCGUGGGUGAAGAAGGCCUUCGGGUUGUAAAGCCCUUUUGUUGGGAAAGAAAAGCAGCAGGUUAAUACCCCGCUGUUCUGACGGUACCCAAAGAAUAAGCACCGGCUAACUUCGUG
This 492-nucleotide ribosomal RNA is filed under the name uncultured bacterium. Its description in RNAcentral is "partial 16S ribosomal RNA". It matches the Rfam family "Bacterial small subunit ribosomal RNA", at positions 29 to 507 of the family's 1533-position model. The record is from RNAcentral.